AGUUCGAUGGUCUAAUGGUUAUGAUAUCUCGUUCACAUACUGUGAAUUCACUCCUGAACUCAGUUCUGGACCGAGAUGGUUCCGGGUUCGAGACCCGGUCGGACUA
This is a non-coding RNA of Ciborinia camelliae, 106 nucleotides long. Lineage: Eukaryota; Fungi; Ascomycota; Leotiomycetes; Helotiales; Sclerotiniaceae. The record is from the annotation of a GenBank genome assembly.